GAUGAUUAUGAAGUUGGUAAUUGAGGGGUUAAAGAUGAAUGUCAUCACUGCAUAUGCCCCAUAGGUAGGUUGUAAGAUGGAGAAAUAUGAUUUCUGGAGUGAGUUAUAUGAGGUGGAAGAGAGUGUACCCAAACAUGAACGAUUGGUGAUUUGAGCGUACUUCAAUGU
Molecule: long non-coding RNA, 168 nt
Organism: Thalassophryne amazonica
Lineage: Eukaryota; Metazoa; Chordata; Actinopteri; Batrachoidiformes; Batrachoididae
Exons: 3
Source: RefSeq, a predicted model, not a curated record